UUAAGGUUGCAUCCGAUGGAUGCGCAAAAGAGAAUCCGGUGAGAAUCCGGAACGAUGCCGUCACUGUGUAUGGGAGUUGCUUUCAAAGCCACUGGGAGACCGGGAAGGGAGAGCGGUGAUGAUCAAAGUCAGGAGAACUGCCUUGACGU
Molecule: non-coding RNA, 149 nt
Filed under: human gut metagenome
Source: RNAcentral